This 68-nucleotide transfer RNA is filed under the name Limnogonus hypoleucus. RNAcentral's name for it is "tRNA-Val". The record is from RNAcentral. RNAcentral also lists the same sequence under 1 other name. Lineage: Eukaryota; Metazoa; Arthropoda; Insecta; Hemiptera; Gerridae.
CAAAUCUUCCAGUUAGUGGGUUUAUUAUUUACAUUAAUAACUUUUUUGUGCGAUUCAAUAAGGUUUGA